UAACUUCGUGCCAGCAGCCGCGGUAAUACGAAGGGACCUAGCGUAAUUCGGAAUUACUGGGCGUAAAGCGCGCGUAGGCGGUUAAGUAAGUUAAUUGUGAAAGCCCAAAGCUCAACUUUGGAAUUGCAAUUAAAACUACUUAGCUAGAGUUUAUCAGAGGAAAGCGGAAUACAUAGUGUAGAGGUGAAAUUCGUAGAUAUUAUGUAGAACACCAGUUGCGAAGGCGGCUUUCUGGGAUAACACUGACGCUGAGGUGCGAAAGUAUGGGUAGCGAAGAGGAUUAGAUACCCUCGUAGUCCAUACUGUAAACGAUGAUUGUUAGAUGUUGGAAAUUUAUUUUCAGUAUCACAGCUAACGCGUUAAACAAACCGCCUGGGGAGUACGACCGCAAGGUUAAAACUCAAAUGAAUUGACGGGGACCCGCACAAGCGGUGGAGCAUGUGGUUUAAUUCGAAGCUACGCGCAGAACCUUACCAACACUUGACAUGUCUGUCGCGGAUUCCAGAGAUGGAUUCCUUCGGUUCGGCCGGACAGAACACAGGUGCUGCAUGGCUGUCGUCAGCUCGUGUCGUGAGAUGUUGGGUUAAGUCCCGCAACGAGCGCAACCCCUACUUCUAGUUGCCAUCAGGUUAAGCUGGGCACUCUAGUAGGACUGCCUGUGAUAAGCAGGAGGAAGGUUGGGAUGACGUCAAGUCCUCAUGGCCCUUACGUGUUGGGCUACACACGUGCUACAAUGGCAGUGACAAUGAGAUGCUAAACGGCAACGUUAAGCUAAACUCAAAAACCUGCCUCAGUUCGGAUUGCACUCUGCAACUCGAGUGCAUGAAGCUGGAAUCGCUAGUAAUCGCUCAUCAGCGCGGAGCGGUGAAUACGUUCCCGGGUCUUGUACACACCGCCCGUCACACCAUGGAAGUUGGUUUUACCUUAAGGCAUGUCACUAACCUUCGGGAAGUGCGUGACCACGGUAUGAUCGGCGACUGGGGUGAAGUCGUAACAAGGUAGCCGUAGGGGAACC
This 1015-nucleotide ribosomal RNA is filed under the name marine metagenome. RNAcentral's name for it is "bacterial SSU rRNA". It matches the Rfam family "Bacterial small subunit ribosomal RNA", at positions 498 to 1512 of the family's 1533-position model. The record is from RNAcentral.